UACAGAGGGGGCGAGCGUUGUUCGGAAUUACUGGGCGUAAAGGGCGCGUAGGCGGCCCGCUAAGUCGAACGUGAAAUCCCCAGGCUCAACCUGGGAACUGCGUCCGAUACUGGCAGGCUUGAAUCCGGGAGAGGGAUGUGGAAUUCCAGGUGUAGCGGUGAAAUGCGUAGAUAUCUGGAGGAACACCGGUGGCGAAGGCGAGAUGCUGGACCCUUUCUUACGCUGAGGCGCGAAAGCCAGGGGAGCGGACGGG
RNAcentral lists this ribosomal RNA (253 nucleotides) under uncultured bacterium. RNAcentral's name for it is "partial 16S ribosomal RNA". It matches the Rfam family "Bacterial small subunit ribosomal RNA", at positions 524 to 776 of the family's 1533-position model. The record is from RNAcentral.